GAUGAACGCUGGCGGCGUGCCUAAUACAUGCAAGUCGAGCGAACAGAUAAGGAGCUUGCUCCUUUGACGUUAGCGGCGGACGGGUGAGUAACACGUGGGUAACCUACCUAUAAGACUGGAAUAACUCCGGGAAACCGGGGCUAAUGCCGGAUAACAUUUAGAACCGCAUGGUUCUAAAGUGAAAGAUGGUUUUGCUAUCACUUAUAGAUGGACCCGCGCCGUAUUAGCUAGUUGGUAAGGUAACGGCUUACCAAGGCAACGAUACGUAGCCGACCUGAGAGGGGGAUCGGCACAAAGGGAACUGGGACAGGGUCCAGACCCCUAGGGGGGGCAGAGGUGGGAAAUUUCCCGCAAUGGGAGAAAGCCUGACGGGGCAACGCCGGGGGGGUGAGGAAGGGUUUCGGAUCGAAAAACUCUUUUUUUAGGGAAAAAAAAAUGUGAAAGUAACGGGGCACGUUUUGACGGUACCAAAACAAAAAGCCGCGGCUAACUACGU
This 496-nucleotide ribosomal RNA is filed under the name uncultured bacterium. RNAcentral describes it as "partial 16S ribosomal RNA". It matches the Rfam family "Bacterial small subunit ribosomal RNA", at positions 28 to 506 of the family's 1533-position model. The record is from RNAcentral.